This 1452-nucleotide ribosomal RNA is filed under the name Triticum aestivum (bread wheat). RNAcentral describes it as "partial small subunit ribosomal RNA". The record is from RNAcentral. Lineage: Eukaryota; Viridiplantae; Streptophyta; Magnoliopsida; Poales; Poaceae.
AUGGCGGCCACCACAACGCCGAAGCUGUACGCCACGGGCGUCAUGGACAUGGAAAGAGUGACAACCUACCCCAACGUGUACUCCCUGGCGCAGUGCACGCCGGACCUGUCCGCCGACGACUGCUCGGCUUGCCUGCGCCGCCUCCUCGGCAUGGUCAACUCCACCAUGGCCCUGCGCAUGGGUGGGCAGAUGGGUGUCACGCGGUGUUAUUUCAGGUACGAGGCAUCUCAUUUCUACGGUGCCCAGCCCAUGCUAAGCCUGCCGUCGUCGCCGCCGGGGACGACUCCCACUCCGACCAAACGCAGGAGCAUGCUGUGGGUGAUUCCCGUAGCUGUAGUUCCUCUAGCGGCAGCAGCGUUCUUCUUCUUCAUCUGUUACUGUCGCCGGCUCAAAAGACAAAGAAAAGUAUCAAGAGGUGCUCACAGUUUAGAGUGGCAAGGGAAGAAUUCGGACUUCUCUUUGUUUGAGUUUGAAGAGCUACUGGAGGCCACAAAUAAUUUCUCAGAAGAAAGCAAACUUGGGCAAGGUGGCUUUGGCGCUGUCUACAAGGGCCAACUUGCAGAUAGGUCGGAGAUAGCAGUUAAGAGACUUGCUUCACAUUCAGGACAAGGUUUCAUAGAAUUUAAAAAUGAAGUUCAGCUCAUAGCCAAACUCCAGCAUACAAAUUUGGUUAGGCUCUUGGGAUGUUGCUCUCAAGAGGAGGAGAAAAUACUGGUCUAUGAAUACUUGCCAAACAAAAGCCUGGAUUUCUUCAUCUUUGAUGAGAAUAGAAGAGCUUUGCUGGAUUGGACAAAACUUCUUGCAAUAAUUGAAGGCGUAGCACAUGGACUUCUUUACUUGCAUACGCACUCUCGGUUACUUGUGAUACAUCGAGAUCUUAAACCAAGCAACAUCCUCCUAGACAGUGCAAUGAAUCCCAAAAUUUCAGAUUUCGGGCUAGCAAAAAUAUUUAGCUCAAAUGACACCGAGGAAGACAUUACAAGAAGAGUUGUUGGCACAUAUGGCUACAUGGCCCCUGAGUAUGCUUCGAAGGGCAUCUUCUCUAUUAAAUCCGAUGUCUUCAGCUUUGGUGUUAUCAUUUUUGAGAUUCUUAGCGGAAAACGGAAUUCUGGCACCCAACAACGUGGAGGUUUCAUCAAUCUUCUUGGAUAUGCAUGGCAAUUAUGGGAAGAGGGAAAGUGGAUUGACCUUGUUGAUGCAUCAUUGAUUUUUGAUAGUCACUCAAAGAUAAGGCGAUGCAUUAACAUAGCAUUGUUGUGCGUACAAGAGAAUGCAGUUGAUCGACCAACCAUGGGAGACAUUGUUUCAAUGCUAAGCAAUGAGACUAUGAUCUUGGCUGAGCCUAAGCAGCCUGCAUAUAUCAAUGUAAGAGUAGGAAAUGAAGAGACGUCCACUGCUCUUGAGUCAUAUAGUAUCAAUGAUGUGAGCAUAUCUAUCACAAGUCCAAGAUAG